UGUGGAAUAUUGCACAAUGGGGGAAACCCUGAUGCAGCGACGCCGCGUGAACGAAGAAGGUAUUCGUAUCGUAAAGUUCUGUCCUAUGGGAAGAUAAUGACAGUACCAUAGAAGAAAGCUCCGGCUAAAUACGUGCCAGCAGCCGCGGUAAUACGUAUGGAGCGAGCGUUGUCCGGAAUUAUUGGGCGUAAAGGGUACGCAGGCGGUUUAAUAAGUCGAAUGUUAAAGAUCGGGGCUCAACCCCGCAAAGCAUUGGAGACUGAUAAACUUGAGUAGUGGAGAGGAAAGUGGAAUUCCUAGUGUAGUGGUGAAAUACGUAGAUAUUAGGAAGAAUACCAGUAGCGAAGGCGACUUUCUGGACAGAAACUGACGCUGAGGUACGAAAGCGUGGGGAGCAAACAGG
RNAcentral lists this ribosomal RNA (403 nucleotides) under bacterium. RNAcentral describes it as "partial 16S ribosomal RNA". It matches the Rfam family "Bacterial small subunit ribosomal RNA", at positions 355 to 776 of the family's 1533-position model. The record is from RNAcentral.